UACGGAGGGUGCAAGCGUUAAUCGGAAUUACUGGGCGUAAAGCGCACGCAGGCGGUUUGUUAAGUCAGCUGUGAAAUCCCCGGGCUCAACCGGGGAACUGCAUUUGAAACUGGCAAGCUAGAGUCUCGUAGAGGCGGGUAGAAUUCCAGGUGUAGCGGUGAAAUGCGUAGAGAUCUGGAGGAAUACCGGUGGCGAAGGCAGCCCCCUGGACGAAGACUGACGCUCAGGUGCGAAAGCGUGGGGAGCGAACAGG
This 253-nucleotide ribosomal RNA is filed under the name uncultured bacterium. Its description in RNAcentral is "partial 16S ribosomal RNA". It matches the Rfam family "Bacterial small subunit ribosomal RNA", at positions 524 to 776 of the family's 1533-position model. The record is from RNAcentral.